GACGAACGCUGGCGGCGUGCCUAAUACAUGCAAGUUGAGCGCUGAAGGUUGGUACUUGUACCGACUGGAUGAGCAGCGAACGGGUGAGUAACGCGUGGGGAAUCUGCCUUUGAGCGGGGGACAACAUUUGGAAACGAAUGCUAAUACCGCAUAAAAACUUUAAACACAAGUUUUAAGUUUGAAAGAUGCAAUUGCAUCACUCAAAGAUGAUCCCGCGUUGUAUUAGCUAGUUGGUGAGGUAAAGGCUCACCAAGGCGAUGAUACAUAGCCGACCUGAGAGGGUGAUCGGCCACAUUGGGACUGAGACACGGCCCAAACUCCUACGGGAGGCAGCAGUAGGGAAUCUUCGGCAAUGGACGAAAGUCUGACCGAGCAACGCCGCGUGAGGGAAGAAGGUUUUCGGAUCGUAAAACUCUGUUGGUAGAGAAGAACGUUGGUGAGAGUGGAAAGCUCAUCAAGUGACGGUAACUACCCAGAAAGGGACGGCUAACUACGUG
RNAcentral lists this ribosomal RNA (497 nucleotides) under uncultured bacterium. RNAcentral's name for it is "partial 16S ribosomal RNA". It matches the Rfam family "Bacterial small subunit ribosomal RNA", at positions 28 to 507 of the family's 1533-position model. The record is from RNAcentral.